This 1461-nucleotide long non-coding RNA is filed under the name Oncorhynchus mykiss (rainbow trout). RNAcentral's name for it is "lncRNA (ENSOMYG00000077073.1)". Lineage: Eukaryota; Metazoa; Chordata; Actinopteri; Salmoniformes; Salmonidae. The record is from RNAcentral.
AUGGAUGGAGCUAGUACAACUGACUCAAUAACAUCAACAGUAGCUAUGGAUGGAGCUAGUACAACCAACUCAACAACAACAACAGUAGCUGUGGAUGGAGCUAGUCCAACUAACUCAACAACAGUAGCUGUGGAUGUAGCUAGUCCAACUGACUCAACAAUAUCAACAGUAGCUGUGGAUGGAGCUAGUCCAACUGACUCAACAACAGUAGCUGUGGAUGUAGCUAGUCCAACUGACUCAACAAUAUCAACAGUAGCUGUGGAUGGAGCUAGUCCAACUAACUCAAUAACAACAACAGUAGCUGUGGAUGGAGCUAGUCCAACUAACUCAAUAACAACAACAGUAGCUGUGGAUGGAGCUAGUCCAACUAACUCAAUAACAGUAGCUGUGGAUGGAGCUAGUCCAACUAACUCAAUAACAUCAACAGUAGCUAUGGAUGGAGCUAGUCCAACUAACUCAAUAACAUCAACAGUAGCUAUGGAUGGAGCUAGUCCAGCUGACUCAAUAACAGUAGCUGUGGAUGUAGCUAGUCCAACUGACUCAAUAACAACAACAGUAGCUGUGGAUGUAGCUAGUCCAACUGACUCAAUAACAACAACAGUAGCUGUGGAUGUAGCUAGUCCAACUGACUCAAUAACAACAACAGUAGCUGUGGAUGUAGCUAGUCCAACUGACUCAAUAACAACAACAGUAGCUAUGGAUGGAGCUAGUCCAACUGACUCAACAAUAUCAACAGUAGCUGUGGAUGGAGCUAGUCCAACUGACUCAAUAACAACAACAGUAGCUAUGGAUGGAGCUAGUACAACUGACUCAAUAACAUCAACAGUAGCAACAGUAGCUAUGGAUGUAGCUAGUCCAACUGACUCAAUAACAACAACAGUAGCUGUGGAUGGAGCUAGUACAACUAACUCAACAUCAACAGUAGCUAUGGAUGGAGCUAGUACAACUAACUCAACAACAACAACAGUAGCUGUGGAUGGAGCUAGUACAACUAACUCAACAACAUCAACAGUAGCUGUGGAUGGAGCUAGUACAACUAACUCAACAACAUCAACAGUAGCUAUGGAUGGAGCUAGUACAACUAACUCAACAUCAACAGUAGCUAUGGAUGGAGCUAGUACAACUAACUCAACAUCAACAGUAGCUAUGGAGGGAGCUAGUACAACUAACUCAAUAACAACAACAUCAACAGUAGCUAUGGAUGGAGCUAGUACAACUAACUCAACAUCAACAGUAGCUAUGGAUGGAGCUAGUACAACUAACUCAACAUCAACAGUAGCUAUGGAGGGAGCUAGUCCAACUGACUCAACAACAUCAACAGUAGCUAUGGAUGGAGCUAGUACAACUAACUCAACAUCAACAGUAGCUAUGGAUGGAGCUAGUCAUCAGCUGGUCGCUCACUGCAUGGAGGAGCAGAAUCCAUCCAUCCAGACUCACUCUGCUGGUCUGUCCAGUCCCUGA